This 440-nucleotide ribosomal RNA is filed under the name uncultured bacterium. RNAcentral describes it as "bacterial SSU rRNA". It matches the Rfam family "Bacterial small subunit ribosomal RNA", at positions 360 to 793 of the family's 1533-position model. The record is from RNAcentral.
AAUAUUGCACAAUGGGCGCAAGCCUGAUGCAGCCAUGCCGCGUGUAUGAAGAAGGCCUUCGGGUUGUAAAGUACUUUCAGCAGUGAGGAAGGUGGGUAUGUUAAUAGCAUAUUCAUUUGACGUUAGCUGCAGAAGAAGCACCGGCUAACUCCGUGCCAGCAGCCGCGGUAAUACGGAAGGUGCGAGCGUUAAUCGGAAUUACUGGGCGUAAAGCGCAUGCAGGUGGUUUGUUAAGUCAGAUGUGAAAGCCCGGGGCUCAACCUCGGAAUUGCAUUUGAAACUGGCAAACUAGAGUACUGUAGAGGGGGUAGAAUUUCAGGUGUAGCGGUGAAAUGCGUAGAGAUCUGAAGGAAUACCGGUGGCGAAGGCGGCCCCCUGGACAGAUACUGACACUCAGAUGCGAAAGCGUGGGGAGCAAACAGGAUUAGAUACCCUGGUAG